Molecule: non-coding RNA, 499 nt
Organism: Enhydra lutris kenyoni (northern sea otter)
Lineage: Eukaryota; Metazoa; Chordata; Mammalia; Carnivora; Mustelidae
Source: the annotation of a RefSeq genome assembly
GUCAGUACUCAGGACAGGACACAGACAACUCACUAUGGAGUUUGUGCUUGGCUGGGUUUUCCUUGUUGCUCUUUUAAAAUGUGUCCAGUGUGAGGUACAGCUGGUGGAGUCUAGGGGAGACCUGGUGAAGCCUGGAGGGUCCCUGAGACUCUCCUGUGCAGCCUCUGGAUUCACCUUCAGUAGCUAUGCCAUGCACUGGGUCCGCCAGGCUUCAGGGAAGGGGCUGCAGUGGGUCGCAAGUAUUAGCUAUGAUGGAAGUAGCACAUACUAUGCAAACUCUGUGAAGGGCCAAUUCACCAUCUCCAGAGACAAUGGCAAGAACACUCUGUAUUUGCAGAUGAACAGCCUGAGUGCCGAGGACACAGCCUUGUAUUAUUGUGAGAAGGACACAAUUGUUGAUGCCUCUGGUGGCCUCAUGUCCAGCGUGCACUUUAUGCUGCUUCUAGGGAGUUUGCACGUUGAGCAGGGUGGACCUGUGAUGUACAGUGAGAGCAGCUAA